GACCGGCGGACGGGUGCGUAACGCGUAUGCAACCUGCCUGACACAGGGGGAUAAUCCGAAGAAAUUUGGUCUAAUACCCCAUAAUACCGAUAUAGGCAUCUAUGUUGGUUGAAAGCUUUGGUGGUGUCAGAUGGGCAUGCGUUGUAUUAGCUAGUUGGUGAGGUAACGGCUCACCAAGGCGACGAUACAUAGGGGGACUGAGAGGUUAACCCCCCACACUGGUACUGAGACACGGGCCAGACUCCUACGGGAGGCAGCAUG
This 261-nucleotide ribosomal RNA is filed under the name uncultured bacterium. RNAcentral's name for it is "partial 16S ribosomal RNA". It matches the Rfam family "Bacterial small subunit ribosomal RNA", at positions 93 to 353 of the family's 1533-position model. The record is from RNAcentral.